Non-coding RNA from Canis lupus familiaris (dog), 106 nucleotides. The record is from Rfam. NCBI's taxonomy places the organism in Eukaryota, Metazoa, Chordata, Mammalia, Carnivora, Canidae.
AGGAGGAUCAACCACAGUGGCGGCGGCCAGCUCUGGAGCCCUGGAGUCAGCCCCCGCAGUAACUCCGGAGCUCUCCGUCUGCAGGGCCUGGAUGCUCCGGGGCGGG